UGCAAACUGCGAAUACCGGAGAAUGUUAUCACGGGAGACACACGGCGGGUGCUAACGUCCGUCGUGAAGAGGGAAACAACCCAGACCGCCAGCUAAGGUCCCAAAGUCAUGGUUAAGUGGGAAACGAUGUGGGAAGGCCCAGACAGCCAGGAUGUUGGCUUAGAAGCAGCCAUCAUUUAAAGAAAGCGUAAUAGCUCACUGGUCGAGUCGGCCUGCGCGGAAGAUGUAACGGGGCUAAACCAUGCACCGAAGCUGCGGCAGCGACACUAUGUGUUGUUGGGUAGGGGAGCGUUCUGUAAGCCUGUGAAGGUGGCCUGUGAGGGUUGCUGGAGGUAUCAGAAGUGCGAAUGCUGACAUAAGUAACGAUAAAGCGGGUGAAAAGCCCGCUCGCCGGAAGACCAAGGGUUCCUGUCCAACGUUAAUCGGGGCAGGGUGAGUCGACCCCUAAGGCGAGGCCGAAAGGCGUAGUCGAUGGGAAACAGGUUAAUAUUCCUGUACUUGGUGUUACUGCGAAGGGGGGACGGAGAAGGCUAUGUUGGCCGGGCGACGGUUGUCCCGGUUUAAGCGUGUAGGCUGGUUUUCCAGGCAAAUCCGGAAAACCAAGGCUGAGGCGUGAUGACGAGGCACUACGGUGCUGAAGUGACAAAUGCCCUGCUUCCAGGAAAAGCCUCUAAGCAUCAGGUAACAUCAAAUCGUACCCCAAACCGACACAGGUGGUCAGGUAGAGAAUACCAAGGCGCUUGAGAGAACUCGGGUGAAGGAACUAGGCAAAAUGGUGCCGUAACUUCGGGAGAAGGCACGCUGAUAUGUAGGUGAAGCGACUUGCUCGUGGAGCUGAAAUCAGUCGAAGAUACCAGCUGGCUGCAACUGUUUAUUAAAAACACAGCACUGUGCAAACACGAAAGUGGACGUAUACGGUGUGACGCCUGCCCGGUGCCGGAAGGUUAAUUGAUGGGGUUAGCGGUAACGCGAAGCUCUUGAUCGAAGCCCCGGUAAACGGCGGCCGUAACUAUAACGGUCCUAAGGUAGCGAAAUUCCUUGUCGGGUAAGUUCCGACCUGCACGAAUGGCGUAAUGAUGGCCAGGCUGUCUCCACCCGAGACUCAGUGAAAUUGAACUCGCUGUGAAGAUGCAGUGUACCCGCGGCAAGACGGAAAGACCCCGUGAACCUUUACUAUAGCUUGACACUGAACAUUGAGCCUUGAUGUGUAGGAUAGGUGGGAGGCUUUGAAGUGUGGACGCCAGUCUGCAUGGAGCCGACCUUGAAAUACCACCCUUUAAUGUUUGAUGUUCUAACGUUGGCCCGUAAUCCGGGUUGCGGACAGUGUCUGGUGGGUAGUUUGACUGGGGCGGUCUCCUCCUAAAGAGUAACGGAGGAGCACGAAGGUUGGCUAAUCCUGGUCGGACAUCAGGAGGUUAGUGCAAUGGCAUAAGCCAGCUUGACUGCGAGCGUGACGGCGCGAGCAGGUGCGAAAGCAGGUCAUAGUGAUCCGGUGGUUCUGAAUGGAAGGGCCAUCGCUCAACGGAUAAAAGGUACUCCGGGGAUAACAGGCUGAUACCGCCCAAGAGUUCAUAUCGACGGCGGUGUUUGGCACCUCGAUGUCGGCUCAUCACAUCCUGGGGCUGAAGUAGGUCCCAAGGGUAUGGCUGUUCGCCAUUUAAAGUGGUACGCGAGCUGGGUUUAGAACGUCGUGAGACAGUUCGGUCCCUAUCUGCCGUGGGCGCUGGAGAACUGAGGGGGGCUGCUCCUAGUACGAGAGGACCGGAGUGGACGCAUCACUGGUGUUCGGGUUGUCAUGCCAAUGGCACUGCCCGGUAGCUAAAUGCGGAAGAGAUAAGUGCUGAAAGCAUCUAAGCACGAAACUUGCCCCGAGAUGAGUUCUCCCUGAGACUUAGAGUCUCCUGAAGGAACGUUGAAGACGACGACGUUGAUAGGCCGGGUGUGUAAGCGCAGCGAUGCGUUGAGCUAACCGGUACUAAUGAACCGUGAGGCUUAACCUU
Molecule: ribosomal RNA, 2000 nt
Filed under: Escherichia coli
Lineage: Bacteria; Pseudomonadati; Pseudomonadota; Gammaproteobacteria; Enterobacterales; Enterobacteriaceae
Description: partial 23S ribosomal RNA
Rfam family: Bacterial large subunit ribosomal RNA
Source: RNAcentral